This 260-nucleotide ribosomal RNA is filed under the name uncultured bacterium. Its description in RNAcentral is "partial 16S ribosomal RNA". It matches the Rfam family "Bacterial small subunit ribosomal RNA", at positions 524 to 776 of the family's 1533-position model. The record is from RNAcentral.
GACGAAGGGGGCUAGCGUUGUUCGGAAUUACUGGGCGUAAAGGGGCGCGUAGGCGGUCAGAUAAGUCAGCUGUGAAAACCUCGGGCUUAACCCGAGGCCCUGCAGUUGAAACUUGUUUGGCUGGAGUGUGGGAGAGGAGAGUGGAAUUCCCGGUGUAAGCGGUGAAAUGCGUAGAGAUCGGGAGGAACACCAGAGGCGAAGGGCGGCAGACCCUGGACAAGUACUGACACUCAACUACGAAAGCGUGGGGAGCAAACAGG